CCUACGGGAGGCUGCAGUGGGGAAUAUUGGACAAUGGGGGGAACCCUGAUCCAGCCAUGCCGCGUGUGUGAAGAAGGCCCUCGGGUUGUAAAGCACUUUCAGUGAGGAAGAACGCCUGGUGGUUAAUACCCAUCAGGAAAGACAUCACUCACAGAAGAAGCACCGGCUAACUCCGUGCCAGCAGCCGCGGUAAUACGGAGGGUGCGAGCGUUAAUCGGAAUUACUGGGCGUAAAGCGCGCGUAGGUGGCUUGAUAAGCCGGUUGUGAAAGCCCCGGGCUCAACCUGGGAACGGCAUCCGGAACUGUCAAGCUAGAUUGCAGGAGAGGAAGGUAGAAUUCCCGGUGUAGCGGUGAAAUGCGUAGAGAUCGGGAGGAAUACCAGUGGCGAAGGCGGCCUUCUGGACUGACACUGACACUGAGGUGCGAAAGCGUGGGUAGCAAACAGGAUUAGAUACCCUAGUAGUC
RNAcentral lists this ribosomal RNA (465 nucleotides) under Vreelandella stevensii. RNAcentral's name for it is "partial 16S ribosomal RNA". It matches the Rfam family "Bacterial small subunit ribosomal RNA", at positions 338 to 795 of the family's 1533-position model. The record is from RNAcentral. Lineage: Bacteria; Pseudomonadati; Pseudomonadota; Gammaproteobacteria; Oceanospirillales; Halomonadaceae.